GGAGAGGUCGCCUAGUGGCCUAGGGCGGCGGUUUGCUAAACCGCUGUACGGUCAAAAGCCGUACCGAGAGUUCAAAUCUCUCCCUCUCCGCCA
RNAcentral lists this transfer RNA (93 nucleotides) under Candidatus Omnitrophota bacterium. Its description in RNAcentral is "tRNA-Ser". It matches the Rfam family "tRNA". From Rfam's summary of the family: Transfer RNA (tRNA) molecules are approximately 80 nucleotides in length. Their secondary structure includes four short double-helical elements and three loops (D, anti-codon, and T loops). Further hydrogen bonds mediate the characteristic L-shaped molecular structure. tRNAs have two regions of fundamental functional importance: the anti-codon, which is responsible for specific mRNA codon recognition, and the 3' end, to which the tRNAs corresponding amino acid is attached (by aminoacyl-tRNA synthetases). tRNAs cope with the degeneracy of the genetic code in two manners: having more than one tRNA (with a specific anti-codon) for a particular amino acid; and 'wobble' base-pairing, i.e. permitting non-standard base-pairing at the 3rd anti-codon position. Lineage: Bacteria; Pseudomonadati; Candidatus Omnitrophota. The record is from RNAcentral.